Molecule: long non-coding RNA, 360 nt
Organism: Canis lupus familiaris (dog)
Lineage: Eukaryota; Metazoa; Chordata; Mammalia; Carnivora; Canidae
Exons: 3
Source: RefSeq, a predicted model, not a curated record
UGCCAAAACUUAGCAGCUUCAAAUACAAGUAUUUACCAUCACAUGCAGCCUGUCGGGAGCAGGAAUCCGGGAGCAGCUCUGGCUGCAGGUCUUUCUCAAGGGUUAUCGUCAUCUUCAGGAUGAGGGCCUGGCGAGACAGACUUCAGUUGGCGGUGACCCGGCCAGAGGCCACCAUUUCUUCCCACCGGGCUUCUCCAGAGGACUGCUUAUCACAUGGUAACUUCCUCUCCACUGCGUGAAAGGGAUUAGAAAAAUGAGAGCCGGAAAGGGUCAGAGAUUUGCUUAAGAUCAUGCAGCCAGUGGCUCACUGAUGCAUCUGCUUUCGGCUCAGGUCAUCAUCCCAGGGUCCUGAAAUCAAGU